This 396-nucleotide ribosomal RNA is filed under the name Bemisia tabaci. RNAcentral describes it as "partial 16S ribosomal RNA". Lineage: Eukaryota; Metazoa; Arthropoda; Insecta; Hemiptera; Aleyrodidae. The record is from RNAcentral.
AAACAUAACUCAAUGAUAUUAUAAUGAGCAAUUUCUGCUCAAUGAAUUAAAUAGCCGCAGUAUAUUAACUGUGCUAAGGUAGCAUAAUAAUUAGUUUUUUAAUUAAAAACUAGAAUGAAUGAAAAAAUGAAGGUUUUUUUGUUUAAAAAAAUUAAACUUUAAGUUAAAAAGCUUAAAUAAAUAAAAAAGACAAAAAGACCCUUUAGAACUUUAUAAUUAUUUGUUGGGGAGACUAAAACAAAACUAUAUUCCCAAAUUAGUGAAUAAUAACCUAAAAAGAAAAAAGAACAAGUUACCUAAGGGAUAACAGCGCACAACUUUUCAAAAGAUCAUAUUAACAAAAUGUAAUGCGACCUCGAUGUUGGAUUGAACAAUGCAAACAGAAAAAUAUUGAAA